UGCCCCUUAGCCAAGCGGCAAGGCAACGGUCUUUGACACCGUGAUCCCUGGUUCGAAUCCAGGAGGGGCAGCCA
This 74-nucleotide transfer RNA is filed under the name Paenibacillus sp. MMS18-CY102. Its description in RNAcentral is "tRNA-Gln". It matches the Rfam family "tRNA". From Rfam's summary of the family: Transfer RNA (tRNA) molecules are approximately 80 nucleotides in length. Their secondary structure includes four short double-helical elements and three loops (D, anti-codon, and T loops). Lineage: Bacteria; Bacillati; Bacillota; Bacilli; Caryophanales; Paenibacillaceae. The record is from RNAcentral.